AGUGAACGCUGGCGGCGUGCUUAAUACAUGCAAGUCGAACGAUGAAGUCCUAGCUUGCUAGGAUGGAUUAGUGGCGCACGGGUGAGUAAUAUAUAGUUAAUCUGCCUUGCACUGAGGAACAACAGUUGGAAACGAUUGCUAAUACCUCAUACUCCAACUUUACAUAAGUUAAGUUGGGAAAGUCUUUUCGGUGCAAGAUGAGACUAUAUCGUAUCAGCUAGUUGGUAAGGUAAUGGCUUACCAAGGCUAUGACGCGUAACUGGUCUGAGAGAAUGAUCAGUCACAUUGGAACUGAGACACGGUCCAAACUCCUACGGGAGGCAGCAGUAAGGAAUAUUGUGCAAUGGGGGAAACCCUGACGCAGCAACGCCGCGUGGAGGAUGACACUUUUCGGAGCGUAAACUCCUUUUGUUAGGGAAGAAUAAUGACGGUACCUAACGAAUAAGCACCGGCUAACUCCGUG
Molecule: ribosomal RNA, 463 nt
Filed under: uncultured bacterium
Lineage: Bacteria
Description: partial 16S ribosomal RNA
Rfam family: Bacterial small subunit ribosomal RNA
Source: RNAcentral